This 325-nucleotide ribosomal RNA is filed under the name uncultured Vannella. Its description in RNAcentral is "partial Bacterial small subunit ribosomal RNA". It matches the Rfam family "Bacterial small subunit ribosomal RNA", at positions 1083 to 1410 of the family's 1533-position model. Lineage: Eukaryota; Discosea; Flabellinia; Vannellidae. The record is from RNAcentral.
AGUCCCGCAACGAGCGCAACCCCUGUUCCUAGUUGCCAGCAUUCAGUUGGGCACUCUAGGGAGACUGCCGGUGACAAGCCGGAGGAAGGCGGGGAUGACGUCAAGUCCUCAUGGCCCUUACGGGUUGGGCUACACACGUGCUACAAUGGUAACUACAGAGGGCAGCGACUUAGCGAUAAGUAGCCAAUCCCAAAAAGUUAUCUCAGUUCGGAUUGCACUCUGCAACUCGAGUGCAUGAAGUUGGAAUCACUAGUAAUCGUAGAACAGCAUGCUACGGUGAAUACGUUCUCGGGCCUUGUACACACCGCCCGUCACACCAUGGGAG